This 119-nucleotide ribosomal RNA is filed under the name Helianthus annuus (common sunflower). The record is from RNAcentral. Lineage: Eukaryota; Viridiplantae; Streptophyta; Magnoliopsida; Asterales; Asteraceae.
GGUUGCGAUCAUACCAGCACUAAUGCACCGGAUCCCAUCAGAACUCCGCAGUUAAGCGUGCUUGGGCUAGAGUAGUACUAGGAUGGGUGACCCACUGGGAAGUCCUCGUGUUGCAACCC